GAAUCAACGCUGGCGGCGUGCCUCAGACAUGCAAGUCGAACGAUUAAGACUUCCUUCGGGAAGUGCAUAAAGUGGCGCACGGGUGAGUAACACGUAAGUAAUCUACCCUCGAGUGGGGAAUAACGUUCGGAAACGGACGCUAAUACCGCAUAACGCAGCGGCACCGCAAGGUGACAGUUGUUAAAGGAGCAAUCCGCUUGAGGAGGAGCUUGCGGCAGAUUAGCUAGUUGGUAGGGUAAUGGCUUACCAAGGCUACGAUCUGUAUCCGGUCUAAGAGGACGGUCGGACACACUGACACUGAAUAACGGGUCAGACUCCUACGGGAGGCAGCAGUCGGGAAUUUUGGGCAAUGGGCGAAAGCCUGACCCAGCAACGCCGCGUGAAGGAUGAAGUAUUUCGGUAUGUAAACUUCGAAAGAAUAGGAAGAAUAAAUGACGGUACUAUUUAUAAGCUCCGGCUAACUACGUGCCAGCAGCCGCGGUAAUACGUAGGGAGCAAGCGUUGUUCGGAUUUACUGGGCGUAAAGGGCGCGUAGGCGGCGCGGUAAGUCACUUGUGAAAUCUCUGAGCUUAACUCAGAACGGCCAAGUGAUACUGCAGUGCUAGAGUGCAGAAAGGGCAAUCGGAAUUCUUGGUGUAGCGGUGAAAUGCGUAGAUAUCAAGAGGAACACCUGAGGCGAAGGCGGGUUGCUAGGCUGACACUGACGCUGAGGCGCGAAAGCCAGGGGAGCAAACGGGAUUAGAUACCCCGGUAGUCCUGGCCCUAAACGAUGAAUACUUGGUGUCUGGAGUUUCAAUACUCCGGGUGCCGUCGCUAACGUUUUAAGUAUUCCGCCUGGGGAGUACGCUCGCAAGAGUGAAACUCAAAGGAAUUGACGGGGACCCGCACAAGCGGUGGAGCAUGUGGUUUAAUUCGACGCAACGCGAAGAACCUUACCUAGACUAGAAUGUGAGGGAAUGUCGGGUAAUGCCGGCAGUCCGGGAAACCGGACCCAAAACAAGGUGCUGCAUGGCUGUCGUCAGCUCGUGUCGUGAGAUGUUGGGUUAAGUCCCGCAACGAGCGCAACCCUUAUCAACAGUUGCCAUCAUUAAGUUGGGAACUCUGUUGAGACUGCCGUUGAUAAAACGGAGGAAGGUGGGGAUGAUGUCAAGUCAUCAUGGCCUUUAUGUCCUGGGCUACACACGUGCUACAAUGGUCGGUACAGAGGGAAGCCAAGGCGCGAGCCGGAGCGAAUCCCCCAAAGCCGGCCCCAGUUCGGAUCGCAGGCUGCAACCCGCCUGCGUGAAGUAGGAAUCGCUAGUAAUCACGGGUCAGCAUACCGUGGUGAAUACGUUCCCGGGCCU
This 1343-nucleotide ribosomal RNA is filed under the name uncultured bacterium. Its description in RNAcentral is "bacterial SSU rRNA". It matches the Rfam family "Bacterial small subunit ribosomal RNA", at positions 27 to 1381 of the family's 1533-position model. The record is from RNAcentral.